Molecule: long non-coding RNA, 781 nt
Organism: Ictalurus punctatus (channel catfish)
Lineage: Eukaryota; Metazoa; Chordata; Actinopteri; Siluriformes; Ictaluridae
Source: Ensembl
UAAAAAGCUUUAAAACAAAGAGGAAGUAGGAAAAGAACUACAUUUCCCAUCUGCCCUGGCUGUCACAGGCUAAUAGCACCAGCUGCUUUCCAUUGCCCUAAGGAGUGAUUCUACUGCUGCAACGAGACCAAAUACAACGAAAGAAGACGGAUCUUUUGGUAGGCUGGUUAAUGAUGACCACAAGCACCCAAAUGGCAGAAUGCAGAAGACUGAAGUGGAUGGAAGCCCACAUCUUGGUCUGUUUGCUUUAACAGACUUUAAAGAAGGUGAUGAAUUACCUACAAUUACGGAGGAGGAGACUGGCCUUGGCGUAGCAAGGUAAAACAUCUACUCUGAAAAAGAGGAAGGCUCGGGAAGGAAAUGAGGUCCAUGCAGUGGAGAGACAUAUGAAGACCUUCAUCAUGUCAUGUCGUGUCCCAGGGAAGUUGGUCUGUGAAAACUGCAUUAGAUCUGAGUCUUUAUAUCUUAAAGAUAGAGACUGGCAAAGUGUCAAAUUCUACGUCUAUAACUGCACUGUAGCUUACAAAAGAGAUAUAAACAAAGAUUAAAUAACACUUUGAUAGUAACACUUUACAUCUAUAUUACAGAUACUGUACAUCAUAACAUCUGUAGUAAUGCUUUAAUAAUAAGUUACGUUACACCUCUAGCCUUUUACUUUGUAAUGAACCGCUCAGCAUUUACUUCAUAAUAAACUAAUCAGGAACAAAUCAGGCAUUUAAAAUAUCCAUUAGAAUCUUUACCUACACCGUUAUAUUGAAUUAGAUCAAAUUGGUUUGGGCCG